UACAGAAGUCAAACACACUGUAUAGCGCUAGAAGCUAAGCAGGGUUGAGCCUGGUCAGUACCUGGAUGGAAGACCUCCUGGGAAGCUAUGGUCGCUGCUGGAA
RNAcentral lists this ribosomal RNA (103 nucleotides) under Lepisosteus oculatus (spotted gar). The record is from RNAcentral. Lineage: Eukaryota; Metazoa; Chordata; Actinopteri; Semionotiformes; Lepisosteidae.